UUAACACAUGCAAGUCGAGCGGGGAAAGGUAGCUUGCUACCUGACCUAGCGGCGGACGGGUGAGUAAUGCUUAGGAAUCUGCCUAUUAGUGGGGGACAACAUUCCGAAAGGAAUGCUAAUACCGCAUACGCCCUACGGGGGAAAGCAGGGGAUCGUAAGACCUUGCGCUAAUGGAUGAGCCUACGUCGGAUUAGCUAGUUGGUAGGGUAAAGGCCUACCAAGGCGAC
This 227-nucleotide ribosomal RNA is filed under the name Chloropicon mariensis. RNAcentral describes it as "partial Bacterial small subunit ribosomal RNA". It matches the Rfam family "Bacterial small subunit ribosomal RNA", at positions 48 to 277 of the family's 1533-position model. The record is from RNAcentral. Lineage: Eukaryota; Viridiplantae; Chlorophyta; Chloropicophyceae; Chloropicales; Chloropicaceae.